RNAcentral lists this ribosomal RNA (440 nucleotides) under uncultured bacterium. Its description in RNAcentral is "partial 16S ribosomal RNA". It matches the Rfam family "Bacterial small subunit ribosomal RNA", at positions 338 to 795 of the family's 1533-position model. The record is from RNAcentral.
CCUACGGGUGGCAGCAGUAGGGAAUAUUGCACAAUGGGGGAAACCCUGAUGCAGCGACGCCGCGUGAGUGAAGAAGUAAUUCGUUAUGUAAAGCUCUAUCAGCAGGGAAGAAAAUUACGGUACCUGAGUAAGAAGCCCCGGCUAACUACGUGCCAGCAGCCGCGGUAAUACGUAGGGGUGCAGCGUUAUCCGGAUUUACUGGGGGUAAAGGGGUCGUAGAGGGCAGUGCAAGUCUGGCGUGAAAGGCGGGGGCUCAACCCCCGGACUGCACUGGAAACUGUACGGCUGGAGUGCAGGAGAGGUAAGGGGAAUUCCUAGUGUAGCGGUGAAAUGCGUAGAUAUCAGGAGGAACACCAGUGGCGAAGGCGGCUUACUGGACUGUAACUGACGCUGAGGCUCGAAAGCGUGGGGAGCAAACAGGAUUAGAUACCCCUGUAGUC